Molecule: long non-coding RNA, 1018 nt
Filed under: Macaca mulatta (Rhesus monkey)
Lineage: Eukaryota; Metazoa; Chordata; Mammalia; Primates; Cercopithecidae
Description: lncRNA (ENSMMUG00000055475.1)
Source: RNAcentral
AUACAUGAGUCCAAGAGUUCAACGACAGUGCAGUUAACUUAGGAGAAAACUACAUUAUUGCCUCAAGUAUAUACAAAGACCUGAAGGAAAAAUUAAAUUAUCAAAAUCCCUGAAUAAUCAGGAAGGUUUCCCUUCUUUGAUUAAAAUAGAGAAAGUUAUACUAUAAUUGGUUUACUGUUAAGCUUAACUGGUUCAUUUGUAAGAAUUACAGAGAGACACAGGAGACCAUAAUCAAAGGGAUAAUGAGAUAACAUGGUUUAGAGGAAAGAAUAGAGAUAAUUGAGUCAUACAGACUUAAAUUUGUAUAACAAAAAAUAAUUAACUUAAUAUAUGCUCAUAAAUAUUGCUUUAAACUUUUUAAAAAAUUGAUAUCCUAAAAGGCUGUUGGAUCAUAUAGUUUUAAAAGUAUCUUAUUGUACCUUUAAUUUGCAUUUGAGAUUUUGGAAAAAUGGAGAAGAAAGUACUUUGGUGCUCAAUCUGCCAUUUUAAGAGGUAGGUAGAACUAAAAUCCCUGUGGACCAGCCAUGUAACCUUAAGUGACUUUCCUUACCCUAGGCUUCACUUUUCCCAGGUGCUACAUUUUCAUAUUAUGGCACCCACAUUUGUUAUGAAGACUAAAUAAACGCAUAUUUGAAAGCACCAGAAGUCAAAUUCAUUACCUUUUCUGGGAUGACCAUGGAUUUUCAUAUUCUUCACUAUUUGGUAGUCACCUAUGCUUGCCACUCCUGUUUGGACUGAAAUGGCCCUUCAUAUGAAGAUGUGUCCAGUUAUUCAUUUGAAAGGUACAGCUAAUGUUGUAUGGUGCAGAUGCUAAGACAGCCACUUAAUCACAGAGAUUCAUGGAGAAAAAGUAGAGGACAAAUGUAUAGAUUUUGAUUUUUUCAUAUACUCUUCUGAGUAAAGUGAGAAAAAUCUUGGUAAAGGAAAUGUUAACCAUUUGGGACACGUCCUUACAUUAAUACAAAUUAGUAGUUGCUGACUUGGUUUUCCUGGCCUGAAAGAAAAUAAAAAUGAGUCC